RNAcentral lists this ribosomal RNA (505 nucleotides) under uncultured bacterium. Its description in RNAcentral is "partial 16S ribosomal RNA". It matches the Rfam family "Bacterial small subunit ribosomal RNA", at positions 28 to 507 of the family's 1533-position model. The record is from RNAcentral.
GACGAACGCUGGCGGCGUGCCUAAUACAUGCAAGUAGAACGCACAGUUUAUACCGUAGCUUGCUACACCAUAAACUGUGAGUUGCGAACGGGUGAGUAACGCGUAGGUAACCUGCCUGGUAGCGGGGGAUAACUAUUGGAAACGAUAGCUAAUACCGCAUAAUAUUGAUUAUUGCAUGAUAAUUGAUUGAAAGAUGCUAUUGCAUCACUACCAGAUGGACCUGCGUUGUAUUAGCUAGUAGGUGAGGUAACGGCUCACCUAGGCGACGAUACAUAGCCGACCUGAGAGGGUGGCCGGCCACACUGGGACUGGGACACGGCCCAGACUCCUACGGGAGGCAGCAGUAGGGAAUCUUCGGCAAUGGACGAAAGUCUGACCGAGCAACGCCGCGUGAGUGAAGAAGGUUUUCGGAUCGUAAAGCUCUGUUGUAAGAGAAGAACGGGUGUGAGAGUGGAAAGUUCACACUGUGACGGUAUCUUACCAGAAAGGGACGGCUAACUACGUG